AGAAUCAACGCUGGCGGCGUGCCUAACACAUGCAAGUCGAACGAGAAAGUGGAGCAAUCCAUGAGUAAAGUGGCGACCGGGUGAGUAACACGUGACUAACCUACCUUCGAGUGGGGGAUAACCUCGGGAAACCGAGGCUAAUACCGCAUAACAUCGCAAGAUCAAAGCAGCAAUGCGCUGGAAGAGGGGGUCGCGGCUGAUUAGCUAGUUGGCGGGGUAAUGGCCCACCAAGGCGAAGAUCGGUAGCCGGCCUGAGAGGGCGCACGGCCACACUGGAACUGAAACACGGUCCAGACUCCUACGGGAGGCAGCAGUGGGGAAUUUUGCGCAAUGGGGAAACCCUGACGCAGCAACGCCGCGUGGAGGAUGAAGCCCCUUGGGGUGUAAACUCCUUUCGACCAAGACGAUAAUGACGGUACUGGUGGAAGAAGCACCGGCUAACUCUGUGCCAGCAGCCGC
Molecule: ribosomal RNA, 459 nt
Filed under: uncultured bacterium
Lineage: Bacteria
Description: SSU rRNA
Rfam family: Bacterial small subunit ribosomal RNA
Source: RNAcentral